CAGAGCUGCUGCCUCUCAGUCUGGUCUGUGCUCAUGUCUUUUAGCUCCUGGGUCAAGCUGCUAGAAACAUGGUGAUGCAAGAAGAUGCCAUCCUGCACUCGGAAGAUAGUUUAAGGAAAAUGGCCAUAAUAACCACUCAUCUACAGUACCAGCAAGAAGCAAUUCAGAAGAACGUCGAGCAGUCAUCAAACCUACAGGACCAGCUGAGUCACUUGCUGAAAUGAAGCGUAGCCGAAGGCACGAGGACAUCUCAACUGGCACUGAGGGCAGCAAAGCGUCCUUUCCCCUCCAGACCCCGGGGCUCAGACCUAUGUCUGGAUGGUGCUGGAUGUCAGCGGAGAUAUGUGCAGAGUCUGUGUUUCUGGGCACGUGGGCCCCUCUCGCGUGCCUCCAUCCACGUCUCUGCUCCAGAACGCUCGCCUGCUCGCCAGCGCCUAACUGAAACAAACUUACCUGAAACUUUACUCCCCCCAACAAUUCCUGUGUCCGCUUACUUCCCGUGUAGUGUGAGGUGCUCAGCCCACACCAGCACCUCUGGCAAGAAAUGCAUAAAAUCGAGCCGUGGGUUUUAAAUACAGGUGCCUGCAGUUUGACACUGGUCUGUAUUUAGACACAGAGGUGGCACAGAGUGCAAUUUAUUUAGGGCAUGUUAAUCAGUGGGAGCCGUAAGUGCCUGGGUGGGUGAGAGAGGUGCUUCAGUGUAGACUGAGGUGCCAGUCCCAGGCCAGAAUUUCUGAAAGCGGGAAUCUGGGCACACACCUCUGUCACUGGUCCAGCUGGACAUGGUUUGGCCAGCAUUCCGCUCAGAGGUUAUCUUAUUUUCCACUCUGCCAGAGUUUGGAACGUCAUCCCCUUGCCAACCCAUCUGCACUGCCUUCGGCCUUCAACUGCAUUCCUCUUCCUGGGCUGCUGCUCCAGCUCUUGAUGAAGCAGCCUUGGCUGUGGUGUGUGUUUGUAUCUGGUUGGGAAGGUAUCCAACGGCCCGGCCGGGAAGCAGGCGGGAGAGCAUCACGAGCCGGUGUGCUCAGUUCUGCACUGCUCUGUGUUGGAGGACUAGUGACCGGGCUCCUGUUCACAUCCCAGGGAGCGACGUCAGGCCCAGGCUAUAAAUACUGUGUCUUGUUUUUGGUAAGUCACUUAUCUGGAGCACUUGGAGCGCACGGGGAGCACUUGUUUGCCUGAGUAUGCUUUUCAUCAGCUGAUACGAGAAGGCAGGCUGAGAGCAGGCAUCGGCCUGCCGCGUUCCUGUUGGAGCGCUGCUGGGGUUUGGCUCCUGUGCUGCAGAGCCUUCUGGGCUGGAUCUCACCAUCCCCUCCAGUGCCACUGCCUGUUUGGGCUUCACCUGGUGGCACCACAGCUCCUGCAUCCCCUUGAAGGUGCCACUGUUAGCCCAGGGGCCAUGGGAGGUAUUUUUGCCUUGGGAGGGGUCCUGAUCCCCAGCUUUGCAGAUUUACUUUGGGAAUGAGGGUUUUCCCUGAGCUGCUGGAGAAGCUGCGACUCGCUGUCAAUAAAAGCUGCCCUGAACACC
Pygoscelis adeliae (Adelie penguin) is the source of this 1528-nucleotide long non-coding RNA. RefSeq lists it as uncharacterized. The transcript is spliced from 4 exons. The record is from RefSeq and is a predicted model, not a curated record. NCBI's taxonomy places the organism in Eukaryota, Metazoa, Chordata, Aves, Sphenisciformes, Spheniscidae.